Mesocricetus auratus (golden hamster) is the source of this 1641-nucleotide long non-coding RNA. RefSeq lists it as uncharacterized. The transcript has 2 exons. The record is from RefSeq and is a predicted model, not a curated record. Lineage: Eukaryota; Metazoa; Chordata; Mammalia; Rodentia; Cricetidae.
AGACAAUGUUGAUGCCGUGUGCUGUCACUGUUCCCUUCAAACUGCAGCUUCCUCGGAGCCCCCAGAGAGGAUACAGGACACGCCCACUUUAUCUAAAGGCACUCUGGGAUCCUGAGAAGGAAGCACGCAUGCGCCCAGUGUUUGGGACUCCAAUGCCAGUGCUCUCCCUGCAGCAACACCAGCUCAAGGGAAGGAACAGGUGCACUCUGUCCUAUCCUAUCAUGAAGAACCAGACCCGGACCUAGGACUUCCCCAGCUUCAGCCUCAAGGCAGGCCCACGUGAGCCGGCACACACUCUCUUCCUGCCCCUGCACAGCAGCCCCUGUUCACAGCAGCCCUGCUCGCAGCACCCGCACCUCCAGUUUUCUUUGUCCAUCGCAUGUGCAUGCUGGAGGCAUCCUCAGCCCGGCCGGGCUUCCACAUCCGAGCUGGGACAACGAACGACAUGGAGAGAUGGAGUUCCAACCAUUGUGGACCUUCACUCCCCUCCAAAUGGGAACCCCCGAUUGUAGGAAACUGAGCUCAGCAAGGUAGUGGAGGGCCACCUCCGGACCCCUGCCACCCCAACUAGCUGGUCGUGAGUAGAAAGAACUAGUUUUAGCCGGAAAGUCCAGGUCUCCGGAGGUGACUGAGAGACUCACUGGGAGAGAAGGAGGGAGCGUGAGGGGCACAGAAUGAAACACACGGGAAGUCUGGGGGUGCAAGGCGAGGAAGGGGAAGGAUUCGAGAUGCCGAGCAACAAACAAACAAACAAAACAAUGCAACGAAGACGCAGAGAGCUUCGGGAGGAUGAAUCUUUCCCUAGGCACCCAGACCGAACUUGCAUCCCACCCCCAAGAUGAAGUUCCCGCUUCGUUCCUUACCCAGACCUUGGACGUCGGCACACCUGCCUGAGGCCACCGGUUUAGGGAGAAAGACUCGAGGCCUUAACUACCACCGCCCCCCACCCCGCCUGUGGCCUGACCUCAGCGAGCGAGGACUACGGGGUGGGGGAGCGCCGACUGGCAGCCUCCAGGCCAUCUACCUGGGCAGCGGGCCAGACCCGCCCGAGGCAGGCACAACCUGAGGCCCUGGUGAAGCUGGGGGUAGAAGCAGAUUGUCUUGAGACAGAUCUCGGUCGCCUUACCUGGAAGAACUCCAGCAGAAGGAGCGGGACACCGGGCCCAAAGUCAGGUUCUAUCUAGAGAUCCCAAACACUUGGAUUUGGUUUCAAAUACACUCUCUAUGCUCUACAGGUGGUAGGAGGGUAUCACGCCUUUGGAUGUUGAGGCGGGAGAAUGUGGAGAGAACCCUGUGUAUCCAGAGUCCAGGCUGAGAGAAACUAAAAUUAUCUUGGGCAGGUGAGGGCGGGGCCUGAGAGGCGCCCUGGAGAAGGAAGCGCUGGAGGAGGGGCGGAGACUCCGCACAAUGCACCGCCUGGGAUAGCUCUUGCCCUUCCUACCGGGCAGCAGGUGCCAGGGAGAGAGCAGGUGCCUGAGGAGAGGCUGGGAAGAGUAAAAAAGCACAGGCUGGAAAGAGAAAAAUCUAGUGUGGAGGCUGUUUGUUAGAUAAGAAAUGGCCCCGCCCACUCCUACUUGUCCCUGCCCAAUGAUGGUCAGUUCAUUGGUCAAGCUAAGGGGCGGUCUUCAGCUCGCCCCCAUC